Molecule: long non-coding RNA, 367 nt
Organism: Marmota monax (woodchuck)
Lineage: Eukaryota; Metazoa; Chordata; Mammalia; Rodentia; Sciuridae
Exons: 3
Source: RefSeq, a predicted model, not a curated record
GAGCCCUAAGACGCUCCCAGACAAAGGAGGAUGGGUCACGCACCCGCCUCGCUAAAGCGAAUUCUCCAGCUUGGAUCCCAUUAAAGAGCCCAGUCGGAUUCCCCGAGGUGCUCAGGCCUGGUUGUGUUACUGCCACAAAAGUUCACUCCACAAGACUGAAGAAUCUUCCAGCAGAACUUCAGUCAUCUUCCUGGAACAAAGGGUCUUGGGCUACUGAGGAGAACCUAAAAUUGGACAUCAUGCAGUAAGAAGAUGAGAGAAGAAAGACAUGAGUCUGAGUGUAACUGGUGGAGCUGCCACUCUAACUCUUGAUUCCUACCUCCCUCCUUCUUUUAUUCAAGAGAAAAUUAAACUAUAAGUUGUUUAA